Phrynosoma platyrhinos (Desert horned lizard) is the source of this 64-nucleotide non-coding RNA. The record is from the annotation of a GenBank genome assembly. NCBI's taxonomy places the organism in Eukaryota, Metazoa, Chordata, Lepidosauria, Squamata, Phrynosomatidae.
GAGCGGUGUAAUGGUUAGAGCAUUGGACUAUGAUUCUGGGGACCAGGGUUCAAAUCCCUGCUCA